Molecule: ribosomal RNA, 450 nt
Filed under: uncultured bacterium
Lineage: Bacteria
Description: bacterial SSU rRNA
Rfam family: Bacterial small subunit ribosomal RNA
Source: RNAcentral
UGCAAGUCGAGCGAGGAGAUUCCUUCGGGAUGAUCCUAGCGGCGGACGGGUGAGGUAACACGUGGGCAACCUGCCUCAUAGAGAGGAAUAGCCUUCCGAAAGGGAGAUUAAUACCUCAUAACAUUGCAGUUUCGCAUGGAACAGCAAUUAAAGGAGUAAUCCGCUAUGAGGAUGGGCCCCGCGGCGCAUUAGCUAGUUGGGUGAGGUAACGGCUCACCAAGGCGACGAUGCGUAGCCGACCUGAGAGGGUGAUCGGCCACAUUGGGACUGAGACACGGCCCAGACUCCUACGGGAGGCAGCAGUGGGGAAUAUUGCACAAUGGGGGAAACCCUGAUGCCAGCAACGCCGCGUGAGUGAUGACGGCCUUCGGGUUGUAAAGCUCUGUCUUCAGGGACGAUAAUGACGGUACCUGAGGAGGAAGCCACGGCUAACUACGUGCCAGCCGCCGC